UCGACUACAACAUUUUGCUGAAAGCAAGUAUUCUCUUCCAAAGCAGACAGUGGCUCUACCAGCUACUUCGCAGUGGCAGCCUUGUGCAGUGAUGUCGUACAAAGCCUUUUUGAGCCUCUACAAACCGCAACAAGUCCCAAACCUGACUCAUGUCUAGAACUUUGCCUCGCUCUCUGUUGCCAGCUUAGUCAUUGCCAGCAGCCCUACAUGCAUCUGCUAAUCCUGUGGUAUCCUCAGCACCCUUCCCUCCUGUGAGAAAGCCCUGGUUAGUCAGCCCCUCGCAGAAAGAUCAAAAAGCAAGUGUUCUGUAUGACACAAGAGAUUUGGCGAGCACCCAUUUCUGGAGGAAGAAACCAUGCAAUUGUAGUCUCACUCGACCAAGACAUCAGACCUCAGCUUCCCAGCUGCUCAGACUUCUGUUGUUCAUUCCUGGGCAUGGACCUGAAAAUCCAUCUGCUACAAGAAGAAGUUCACUCUUGGUGGAAAGACAAGCUGGUGGGAUUUUAGUUUCUUUUAACCUGUGUUAUCUUUCCCUGCUCUGGAGGCUGGAAUUUAAAAGCUGAGGCACAGGUCACAUUGUGGGCAGGAGAGAGUGGAAAAUGUGUACAGUUGUCAAACUGCAACCAAAUGUCUCAUCUACAUGUGGACUUGCCUCACCCAUAUGCUGUACCCCCGAGGGCACCCUUCACUGCCUCCUCAAAGGGCUCCUGGUGUUUCCCCAUGCAGAGAUAACUCACUCCAGAGAUAACCGUUUGUUUGUUUAGUCUGGCUUCCACCUAAGGUAAAUUAAAAACAACCUUCUACAAGCUCUGGGAGACCUGUACUGAACAGCUAUGAACAAAUCCCUGUAGUUCAACCCAGCUGUGGCUCCUGGUUCAUUGAAAAGGUCUUCAGGCUGGGGGGAACAGGGGUGCAGGGGCUACUUGGGACCUGUAUGGCCGAUGUGCUGAACCUGCUGCCUUCUCUGAGUGACCUUGCACAUUGGCCAACUUUGAGAUCUAUGAAAACCAGUGGUCCCUUGCCUGGGCCAGGAGAGCAUUCACAGACAAGCGCCUUUUAUUUCUCUUUUGUAGCGCCACAUGUGUACAUCUGGACCUUGGAUGAAAAUCAGAACGGGGCAUGCAGGUCCCAUUCAAAUAGCUGCUGACAUUACUGGAGAGUCUCCUGGUAGCUUCAUGGGGAUGUGGACCAAGCCCCUGUAGGUUCGUUUACUUAUAUAUUUAUUUAUUACCAAUUUUGUCAUUUGGUCACCAGCUGGAUUAUUUGCACCUUUCUCAUGCAAUUAAAUGACACAAGCUGCUAGUUCUGGAUUUCUUUCUCACAACCAGCUAGAAACCAUGAUAGAAAACAUAACCCUGCCACAUCAGAGACGUUCUUCAUAUAUCGUAUUGUAUUCGCAUCUAGGUUUCCUUGUUUCUAGCCAAUCUCAUCUGUUAUCUGUUUUGGUCUGCUUAUGGGAACUGGUAAUUUUUGAAAAUUGAGAGCAAGGAAAGAACAAUGUUUUUUUCCUUUGUAUUUUACAUCCUAAGGAAACCAAUAGGAUCUACACAAGCACAUGAAAACAUAGCCCUCAAAUUAGCAAUAAGUUAGCACAUGCUUUUUCUGUAUGGAAAAUUUAAAGAGACAAAGAUCAUCAUGGGGAAGUAUUUUAAUGUAAUGAAAUAAAUCUGUGCCCCAUAAUGCUUGGAUACUUGGCUCUGCUUUUGUCUCUCUUGGAGGGUGCUGACACUCAGACUUGGUGAUGGAUUAAACAGUGACAGCUGAGAUAGUUACUGCCCUCAGCUGUGCAUCCUGCCCUUUUGGAAAUUACUGCCCUCCUGCAGCUGGCACAACUCAACGCUUCAUGAAUCUGGUUUCAGACUGCCAGACUUCACGCCGGCCAUGGCUCAUGUGGAUUCACUGGCCCGUAAACUCCUGUGGCUUGGAGUGACCAUUGAGCAUACCUAAGCAAUCUUCCCAAAACAUAGUUUAACCCUCGCAUGUUUAUUGUCAGAGCAAGCCCCUGGAUUGUCAGUUCAUCAAGACCCUCCAAGCCUCGUGGGCACAGCAAGUCAGGCAAGAGGCAGUUGAAAUACCACAAACUGCUGGAGAGGUUUCUUAUGGGGCAGGGAAUGGGGCAACAUUAACUUCUUGAAAAAGCCUUUCUGCUAUAAAACUGACAGAGCUCUGGCAGCCACUUCUGCCACAUCAAAUCUUACCAGCUCUCCCCUCCCAAAAAGGAAACAAGCAGAAUUUAAGGCACUGAAUCAAAAAAGAGGCUCAGGUCUGUAGAACUAAGUCUGAAAAAGAAUAAAUGCCAUAAACUCUAUGAAAUCCACUAGGGACUUCGCUAUUCAUUCUGCACUGCAGAUGGUCAGACAAUAUGGUAAUGUGGUAAUGUAAAACCUGUUGCUAGAUUCAUGGCAGGUGAUUCAGCUAAAGCAUUGUGGAUUAACUUUAUAGGAUGCUGCUUCUGAUAGUUCAAAACCAGCACUCGAUAGUGUCAGAUCAGGAAGAUGUGGCCCUAACUCCAUCUGCACAGAGAUUUGAAAAUCCACUGGCAAAGCUUUAACUUCUUCAAAAAACAACAGCAGAUAAUGCUUCAAAACAGUGUUUGUUUAUCUUUUAUUCUUUUGCUUCUAAUGGUCUCAUUCUGAAUUUGAAAAUAACUUCCUCUCUACUUUUGUUAUGAUUUCCCUACUGGGAAGAAACCAAAAGAUCCAAGCUACGUCAAGUCAGAAGAAAUGUGUGCAAAGCUAACACGGUUCAGGAGGCUGUGUUUGAUCACUAAAUGUUGCCACGAAGCCAGCAAGAGCUGGGCACAUCACCCUUGUGGGAGCUCUGCCAUGGACUGAGUGGGCCUAGGAAUCUCAGUUCGUUUGUUAUAGAAUUGGAAGAGUAACAAAUCAAACAAAAGAACAACAAGUUACUUGGCCUCCACAUAGUAUUUGGAUGUCCUAGUCUUUUGCUGUAUGAAGCCAGGUUUUAGUUUUCUGGAAAAAGUAUGGCCAAGCACAGUCCACCAGUACAGGUUAAUAGUACUUGCCAAGGUGGCCAGUCAAAAAUGUCACAAUUCUGUCUUUGUUCACUGAUAUCUAAUCCUUUACAGGGACUUACCUUCUUGGAAAAUACAUGGCAAGAAAGUGUCUCUGGUUUUGCAAACAAGUUCUUGUCCUAACAAUGCACUGACCAGAACAUUUCUACAUAUUUGGGAGGAAGGUUUUUCCGCCAACAAGAGCUGCUGCUCCAGGAGCUGUUGCAUAAAAAGGGGCACCUGUUAUCUUCUGGAUGCAUCAUAAAGAAUACUGUAGGUCUUCAGGGUCAGGAGGGCACCAGAAGACAGCAAAGGCCUGGUCUGGAGAAUAACCAGAGGAAGAAAUGGGAUGCCUUUAACAGGUGUGAAUGGAAAGGCUGAUCUAUCCCCAGCUCCUCGUGAAUGACUCAUGCAGGGUGUGGUCAUGCUGGAACCCUCAAGUUAUUCUGCUAUAGGCAGGAGCUCACGUUGCAAUUCAUCUACCCUUUAAGCUGAGAAGAGCAGCAGCGUAGAUACAAUCUGAAACCCAGUUCCAUCCUAGCAUGGUCAAAGGAAACAACUCUGUUGAGGAUAUUAGAGGGGAAUUCCUCCACUGAUGACAACAUGAGAAAAACAUUAUCUUAAUAUUAAUCUUAUCUUCAAAAGAUUAUGCUGCUAUUUUUUGAAAACUGAAACUUAGACUAUUUAUCUAGCACAGCUAUGUUGGUUCAAUUAGAAAUUGUAGACUCUGUCAAAAUAUUCCAGCCCUCCAAGAAAUGUCACCCUUACAUGUAAAGUUGACACAGUUUGCAUGAAGCCAUUUUCAGAGGAAUUCCAAACACCUUUGCGAUACAGUCAUGCAUUUAGUUCAACAUUUUCAGUGAGGUGACUUCUACUGCAUACAAUUCAGUACAAUCCCUUGAAAAAGACCAUCUAACAAUCUGAUGUGAAAAAAUAAACCACCUAUUUAUGGCAGCCCUUUUCUGUAAAUGCUAUCGAUACAAAAAAAAAAAAAAAAAAAA
This is a long non-coding RNA of Columba livia (rock pigeon), 4014 nucleotides long. RefSeq lists it as uncharacterized. NCBI's taxonomy places the organism in Eukaryota, Metazoa, Chordata, Aves, Columbiformes, Columbidae. The record is from RefSeq and is a predicted model, not a curated record. The transcript has 3 exons.